Molecule: ribosomal RNA, 496 nt
Filed under: uncultured bacterium
Lineage: Bacteria
Description: partial 16S ribosomal RNA
Rfam family: Bacterial small subunit ribosomal RNA
Source: RNAcentral
AUGCACGCUGGCGGCGUGCCUAAUACAUGCAAGUCGAGCGAACAGACGAGGAGCUUGCUCCUCUGACGUUAGCGGCGGACGGGUGAGUAACACGUGGAUAACCUACCUAUAAGACUGGGAUAACUUCGGGAAACCGGAGCUAAUACCGGAUAAUAUAUUGAACCGCAUGGUUCCAUAGUGAAAGACGGUUUUGCUGUCACUUAUAGAUGGAUCCGCGCCGCAUUAGCUAGUUGAUAAGGUAACGGCUUACCAAGGCAACGAUGCGUAGCCGACCUGAGAGGGUGAUCGGCCACACUGGAACUGAGACACGGUCCAGACUCCUACGGGAGGCAGCAGUAGGGAAUCUUCCGCAAUGGGCGAAAGCCUGACGGAGCAACGCCGCGUGAGUGAUGAAGGUCUUCGGAUCGUAAAACUCUGUUAUUAGGGAAGAACAAAUGUGUAAGUAACUAUGCACGUCUUGACGGUACCUAAUCAGAAAGCCACGGCUAACUACGUG